Molecule: ribosomal RNA, 411 nt
Filed under: bacterium enrichment culture clone ALO1_GLFRUDD03HDJTF
Lineage: Bacteria
Description: bacterial SSU rRNA
Rfam family: Bacterial small subunit ribosomal RNA
Source: RNAcentral
GAGUUUGAUCGUGGCUCAGAUUGAACGCUGGCGGCAUGCCUUACACAUGCAAGUCGAACGGCAGCACGGGAGCUUGCUCCUGGUGGCGAGUGGCGAACGGGUGAGUAAUGCAUCGGAACGUAUCCUGGAGUGGGGGAUAACGUAGCGAAAGUUACGCUAAUACCGCAUAUUCUGUGAGCAGGAAAGCGGGGGACCUUCGGGCCUCGCGCUCUUGGGGCGGCCGAUGUCGGAUUAGCUAGUUGGUGAGGUAAAGGCUCACCAAGGCGACGAUCCGUAGCAGGUCUGAGAGGAUGAUCUGCCACACUGGAACUGAGACACGGUCCAGACUCCUACGGGAGGCAGCAGUGGGGAAUUUUGGACAAUGGGGGCAACCCUGAUCCAGCCAUGCCGCGUGAGUGAAGAAGGCCUCGG